UACGUAGGGGGCAAGCGUUGUCCGGAAUCAUUGGGCGUAAAGCGCGUGUAGGCGGCUCGGUAAGUCUGCUGUGAAAGUCCAGGGCUCAACCCUGGGAUGCCGGUGGAUACUGUCGAGCUCGAGUCCGGAAGAGGCGAGUGGAAUUCCUGGUGUAGCGGUGAAAUGCGCAGAUAUCAGGAGGAACACCGGUGGCGAAGGCGGGAUCCUGGGCCAGUACUGACGCUGAGGAGCGAAAGCGUGGGGAGCAAACAGG
This 253-nucleotide ribosomal RNA is filed under the name uncultured bacterium. RNAcentral's name for it is "partial 16S ribosomal RNA". It matches the Rfam family "Bacterial small subunit ribosomal RNA", at positions 524 to 776 of the family's 1533-position model. The record is from RNAcentral.